Molecule: ribosomal RNA, 1459 nt
Filed under: Staphylococcus saprophyticus
Lineage: Bacteria; Bacillati; Bacillota; Bacilli; Caryophanales; Staphylococcaceae
Description: bacterial SSU rRNA
Rfam family: Bacterial small subunit ribosomal RNA
Source: RNAcentral
GGGGGGGGGGGGGCUAAUACAUGCAGUCGAGCGAACAGAUAAGGAGCUUGCUCCUUUGACGUUAGCGGCGGACGGGUGAGUAACACGUGGGUAACCUACCUAUAAGACUGGGAUAACUUCGGGAAACCGGAGCUAAUACCGGAUAACAUUUGGAACCGCAUGGUUCUAAAGUGAAAGAUGGUUUUGCUAUCACUUAUAGAUGGACCCGCGCCGUAUUAGCUAGUUGGUAAGGUAACGGCUUACCAAGGCGACGAUACGUAGCCGACCUGAGAGGGUGAUCGGCCACACUGGAACUGAGACACGGUCCAGACUCCUACGGGAGGCAGCAGUAGGGAAUCUUCCGCAAUGGGCGAAAGCCUGACGGAGCAACGCCGCGUGAGUGAUGAAGGGUUUCGGCUCGUAAAACUCUGUUAUUAGGGAAGAACAAACGUGUAAGUAACUGUGCACGUCUUGACGGUACCUAAUCAGAAAGCCACGGCUAACUACGUGCCAGCAGCCGCGGUAAUACGUAGGUGGCAAGCGUUAUCCGGAAUUAUUGGGCGUAAAGCGCGCGUAGGCGGUUUCUUAAGUCUGAUGUGAAAGCCCACGGCUCAACCGUGGAGGGUCAUUGGAAACUGGGAAACUUGAGUGCAGAAGAGGAAAGUGGAAUUCCAUGUGUAGCGGUGAAAUGCGCAGAGAUAUGGAGGAACACCAGUGGCGAAGGCGACUUUCUGGUCUGUAACUGACGCUGAUGUGCGAAAGCGUGGGGAUCAAACAGGAUUAGAUACCCUGGUAGUCCACGCCGUAAACGAUGAGUGCUAAGUGUUAGGGGGUUUCCGCCCCUUAGUGCUGCAGCUAACGCAUUAAGCACUCCGCCUGGGGAGUACGACCGCAAGGUUGAAACUCAAAGGAAUUGACGGGGACCCGCACAAGCGGUGGAGCAUGUGGUUUAAUUCGAAGCAACGCGAAGAACCUUACCAAAUCUUGACAUCCUUUGAAAACUCUAGAGAUAGAGCCUUCCCCUUCGGGGGACAAAGUGACAGGUGGUGCAUGGUUGUCGUCAGCUCGUGUCGUGAGAUGUUGGGUUAAGUCCCGCAACGAGCGCAACCCUUAAGCUUAGUUGCCAUCAUUAAGUUGGGCACUCUAGGUUGACUGCCGGUGACAAACCGGAGGAAGGUGGGGAUGACGUCAAAUCAUCAUGCCCCUUAUGAUUUGGGCUACACACGUGCUACAAUGGACAAUACAAAGGGCAGCUAAACCGCGAGGUCAUGCAAAUCCCAUAAAGUUGUUCUCAGUUCGGAUUGUAGUCUGCAACUCGACUACAUGAAGCUGGAAUCGCUAGUAAUCGUAGAUCAGCAUGCUACGGUGAAUACGUUCCCGGGUCUUGUACACACCGCCCGUCACACCACGAGAGUUUGUAACACCCGAAGCCGGUGGAGUAACCAUUUAUGGAGCUAGCCGUCGAAGGGGGGACCAAAAA